RNAcentral lists this ribosomal RNA (253 nucleotides) under uncultured bacterium. Its description in RNAcentral is "partial 16S ribosomal RNA". It matches the Rfam family "Bacterial small subunit ribosomal RNA", at positions 524 to 776 of the family's 1533-position model. The record is from RNAcentral.
CACGGGGGGAGCAAGCGUUGUUCGGAUUCAUUGGGCGUAAAGGGCUCGUAGGUGGCUUUGUAAGUCGGAGGUGAAAUCCCAUGGCUCAACCAUGGACACGCCUUCGAAACUGUGAAGCUUGAGGCUGGGAGAGGAGAUCGGAAUUCCUGGUGUAGCGGUGGAAUGCGCAGAUAUCAGGAGGAACACCAAUAGCGAAGGCAGCUCGCUGGGACGGUACUGACGCUAAGGCGCGAAAGCCAGGGGAGCGAACGGG